ACCUGGUUGAUCCUGCCAGUAGUCAUAUGCUUGUCUCAAAGACUAAGCCAUGCAUGUCUAAGUAUAAAUGAUAUACAGUAAAACUGCGAAUGGCUCAUUAAAACAGUUAUAGUUUAUUUGGUAAUCAAAAUUACAUGGAUAACCGUGGUAAUUCUAGAGCUAAUACAUGCAGUCAAACCCGACUUUUUGGAAGGGUUGUAUUUAUUAGAUAUCUGACCAAUAUUCCUUGUGUCUAUUGUGGUGAAUCAUAGUAACUGAUCGGAUCGCAUGGGCUUGUCCCGCGACAAACCAUUCAAGUUUCUGCCCCAUCAGCUUUCGAUGGUAGUGUAUUGGACUACCAUGGCUUUUACGGGUAACGGAGGAUUAGGGUUCGAUUCCGGAGAGGGAGCCUGAGAAACGGCUACCACAUCUAAGGAAGGCAGCAGGCGCGUAAAUUACCCAAUACUGAUUCAGUGAGGUAGUGACAAGAAAUAGCGGGUCGGGAUUUUUUCCCGGGACUGAAAUGAGACGAAUUUACACCCCUUAUCGAGGAUCCAUUGGAGGGCAAGUCUGGUGCCAGCAGCCGCGGUAAUUCCAGCUCCAAUAGCGUAUAUUAAAGUUGUUGCAGUUAAAAAGCUCGUAGUUGGAUUUCUGGACGGGGGGCUCUACUCGCAUCGUGCGAGGCCAGAGUCGCUCGGCCAUCCUUCUGUUAACCCGUCUCGGUAUUCACUUAUCGGGCGGGGGCUCAGAUAGAUUACCUAGAGAAAAUUAGAGUGUUUCUGCAUGCUUGCGCCCGAUACAUUAGCAUGGAUAUAGAAUAG
RNAcentral lists this ribosomal RNA (800 nucleotides) under uncultured eukaryote. Its description in RNAcentral is "SSU rRNA". It matches the Rfam family "Eukaryotic small subunit ribosomal RNA", at positions 1 to 825 of the family's 1831-position model. The record is from RNAcentral.